GACGUAGGGCGCGAGCGUUGUCCGGAUUUAUUGGGCGUAAAGAGCUCGUAGGCGGCUUGUCGCGUCGUCCGUGAAAACCCACAGCUCAACUGUGGGCUUGCGGUCGAUACGGGCAGGCUAGAGUUCGGUAGGGGAGACUGGAAUUCCUGGUGUAGCGGUGAAAUGCGCAGAUAUCAGGAGGAACACCGGUGGCGAAGGCAGGUCUCUGGGCCACUACUGACGCUGAGAAGCGAAAGCAUGGGGAGCGAACAGG
This 253-nucleotide ribosomal RNA is filed under the name uncultured bacterium. RNAcentral's name for it is "partial 16S ribosomal RNA". It matches the Rfam family "Bacterial small subunit ribosomal RNA", at positions 524 to 776 of the family's 1533-position model. The record is from RNAcentral.